RNAcentral lists this ribosomal RNA (567 nucleotides) under uncultured bacterium. RNAcentral describes it as "bacterial SSU rRNA". It matches the Rfam family "Bacterial small subunit ribosomal RNA", at positions 338 to 916 of the family's 1533-position model. The record is from RNAcentral.
CCUACGGGAGGCAGCAGUAGGGAAUAUUGGGCAAUGGGCGAAAGCCUGACCCAGCGACGCCGCGUGAGGGAUGAAGGUCUUCGGAUUGUAAACCUCUUUCAGUAGGGAAGAAGCGAAAGUGACGGUACCUACAAAAGAAGCACCGGCUAACUAUGUGCCAGCAGCCGCGGUAAUACAUAGGGUGCAAGCGUUGUCCGGAAUUAUUGGGCGUAAAGAGCUCGUAGGUCGUUUGUUACGUCGGAUGUGAAAACCUGAGGCUCAACCUCAGGCCUGCAUUCGAUACGGGCAAACUAGAGUUUGGUAGGGGAGACUGGAAUUCCGGGUGUAGCGGUGGAAUGCGCAGAUAUCAGGAGGAACACCAAUGGCGAAGGCAGGUCUCUGGGCCAAUACUGACACUGAGGAGCGAAAGUCUGGGGAGCGAACAGGAUUAGAUACCCUGGUAGUCCAGACCGUAAACGGUGGGCACUAGUUGUGGGAACCUUCCACGGUUUCUGCGACGCAGCUAACGCAUUAAGUGCCCCGCCUGGGGAGUACGAUCGCAAGAUUAAAACUCAAAGGAAUUGACGG